GACAACCCAAAUUACGCAACACAGCUAUAAUUAGUAUUGCUUACUUUUAAUAAUCAAUCAAAGUAAUACACACGCAUCAGGCAGAAAAAUACAACUCAGACAACUACACUGAAAGUUAAACAUACCAUAUAACAUAUUAAAAACAGAUCCGUAGCAUCUCAGGUAUCUAACAAGAUCCGAUCCAAUCCAGGAUCGAUCCGACCGCAUGACAUUAUUAGACGCAGAUAAAAGAUCACCACCCAUGGAUCCAGAACUCAACCACCAAGAUCCAACAAACAUAAAAAACUUUAGUUACUAAAAGGAGAUGGAUCGAUCCAGUCGGGCUCGCCAGGAAUUGGAUCAGACGGGGGACAGAAGCUGGAGCAAGCUAGGUUUGGGCUCGUCUCCCUUAGUCAUGCCGACGACGAUGAUGAGCGGGAUGAAGCCCCAGUGCGCCACCACCUUCGCCGUCUUCAUCGUCCACGUGCUCCACUCCUUCGCGAGCCGCACCGCCACCGCCGCGGUGGACUGCUCGUCCUCGGCCGCGGACGAGCCCCUCUUCCCACCCUUGCCCUUUGGCUUCGGCUUCAGCGACGGCCGCGACGCCAUGGCGACUCCUCUUGAUUCUUCGAUUCGCUGGACGAAAACCCUAGAGCUGUGCCCUUUGGGGAUGUGUUGAUCUCUCGGUCGUUUGAUCUGGUGCGUUGUUUCCGGUUAAUAUUGGCUGCUUAGUGGGCCAGUCGUCUCGUGUUAGUAUCUCUCUGGGAGACCUCUCAUGGGUCCUCAAAUGCUAUUGGGCUAGCUUUAUCUUUGAAUUGGGCCAAACUUUCCAACUAACCAGGGGCGGGGCAUUGUGGACAUGAUAGAUGAGUGAGUCUUCUAAAAAAAAAGAUACUCACACCGAUCUAGAUUAAUUGUCGCAAAAGUUGUAUUAGAGGUGCGGCAAUUAAUUUGGAUAGUGAUGCUAUGAACGACUAGCCCACGAGCAUUCCUUCGUUGGGCUUUCCAACGAACACUCUUAAAGCAUGUUCGUGUGCCUUUCUAGCGCACACACGAAACGCAUGGCGGUGCUAUUGCAUUUCAAGUUUUUUUUUUCUGCAGGUUUUUUGGUUCUUUUAGCUUUCCGUUUCUUGUUUGGAUCUUUAGAUUUUGCUUUGUUUUUCCAAGUUUUAUUGUUUAAAAUUUUUAUGAUGUGAUUUUCAUGUGAAAUAUAGAAGCAGAGUUGUGCUCACGGUGAAGCACAGUUAUACUUCAAGGCGAAGUACAACUGUGCUUUCAUGUGAAGUACUCCCUCCAUGUUAAUUUUUUUGUUUUAGAUUGUCUAGAUAUGAAUGCGUCUAGUCACAUUUUAGUAUUUAGAUAUAUUUAUUUUUAGACAAACCGAUAACAAGAAUUUUGGGACGAGGGAUUACAAAUCAUGCUUUUGUUCUUCGUCCCAAAAAUGAAGCAUGCGGUGUGUUUUUCUGUAAAGUACAAUUGUGUUUUCCUUUGAAAUUAAAAAAACAUAUUUAUGUUUCUGUGUGAAAUGUAGUUGGGUUUCUUCCAAAAAUGAAAAUCAUAGUUGGGCUUUCCAAAGUGAAGCGCAAGUUGUGCUUUCCAAAGUGAAACAUAGGUUGUGCUCCCCAAAAAAGUGAAAGACAAGUUGUGCUUUCAGUUUCCUUUUUUCUGGGUUUUGGACUUUUAGUUUCCUGUCUUUUUAGUCUAUGUUUUUUUGACAAAAACUUCAUCUUUUUUUUUCUCUCUUAGUUUUCAUUUUUUUUGAAAAAGUUCAUCCAAAAUUAUUAACAUUGGAUUUAGUUUCAAUGAUCUCAUCCGAGAAACACAACGAUAAAAUUCAUGAUUUCAAUGCAUUAUUCAAUAGAUAAAAAGUUUUAAAAAAAGUAAAUCUAUACCUAAUAAUAAAGCGGCUAUUGUUUCCGUCGGAAAACCCACCGUGGCAUUUUUAUAAGAAAGCCCCUGUAAUUUUUGUUAUUCAACCCACGCUCAAUCAUUUAUCUGCAACGCAAAAGAAAAAAACGAUUCGCUGCAAAAAUUAUACCCGUGCGCAUCGCCUCCUCCCGUCGACCCUAGGCCACCCUGGCCUGUGCCCAGGCCCCCGCCACACCACUCGCUGCUGCGGCCGACCUCAACCGCCACCGCUGUCGAUCUCAACCCACCCGCCUCCGUGGCCGUACCUCUUCCCGCUCACUGGCCCCGUUGCGGCGCUCGAGCGCAUCGCGUCGACCCUGGUCCACCCUGGCCUGUGCCCAGGCCGCUGCGACACCACUCGCCGUCGCGGACGACCUCAACCACCACUGCUGUCGAUCUUAACCCACCCGCCUCCGCGGCCGUACCUCUGCCCGCUUGCUGCCCCCGUUUCGGCGCUCGAGCACAACUUCUGGAUCAAAUCAAUGCCAUAGCUACAGUGACCGGGGAUGAUGCGUCUGCUCGAUGCAGAACGGCGGCGGCGCGCGGAUAAGGCGUGACAGAGCGAAGUACUUGCAGGUGGAGGCGGGCCUCCAUGGCUCACACGGGAAACUCCGAAGUUAUGGCGCGGCAACGGCGACUCCUUAUGGCCAGAUAGAGGCGCCUAACCCUUGCUCCCCUCAUCGUAUCCCCUCCUCCAGCAGGAACUCAUCAUCUGAUGAGAUCCCCUCCCCAUGCCUCCAACCGUGUGCCAAGCGUGUGGUAUUUUUUCUCCCGUUGCAACGCACGGGCCCUUUUGCUAGUCUAAGAAAAAACACAAAACUCUUAGGUUCUUGGCAUAGCACACAGGGUGCACCACAUGGGCCAAGGUCCAAUAGGCUUGCCCCGUUCUCUAGUGAUAGCUCGGUCGUUGGUCGCCCACUCGCCCACCCGCUCUCCAUUAGUUUUUUUACUACCGCUGUUGCUCCAUGAUGUUAAUAAAAAACCAAUCAGUUUUUUAUUUAUUUUUAUAAAUUCGUUGAAUUCAUAGAAAAAGAAUAUUUAUGAUUUUUUCUGAAAGUUCAUGAAUUAUAAUAAAAAAUAUGUGAUUAUGUUUUCCAAAUUUAAGUGCAUUUGGAUAAUAUUCGUAAGAUUAAAACAUAAUCAAAAAAUUUCAUAUAUUAAAAAAAUUAAAAAAUGUUUUCGAGUAUAAAAAUCAUCCAUGGAUUUUAUAAAAUAAUCACAAACUUAUUUGUUUUGCAAAUUUUAAAAAUAGUCAUGGAUUUAAAAUAUUCACAAUUCACCAAGUUUACAUUAUUUAUGAUAUUAAAAAUAAAACACGCAAAAGAAAAAAAAUCAUCAAAAGUGGAGUAAAACCGUGGAAAAAACCACAAACGAGGAAAAAUAACCUGCUGACGUUAGGUUUUUGUCAGUUCCAGCAAACGCAUGAGCUCUUGUGAGAUCAAAUGCACAAACUUUAAAGUAGAGAAAAGUAUGAGGUCACAUAUUUUUGAUCGUUCGCUCUAACGAACGUCACGACCAACGUCUCACUAAACUUCAACUCGCCUUAUCCAGUCCACCCUCCCACAUCACUCGCUUACUUCUCCCCGUUGCCUGUCCAGCCGCGCACACUACCUCUCACUGCUACGACCUUCUUCUUCAAGAGCUUGCCGACGGGCCAUUUCGGCGACGCACAGGAGGCUGCGGCGGGGGAGAUGCACGUGGAGCAGAGCACGACGCUCCCAAACUCUUGUGCUUGGGAUGAUCCGACGACGCACGAGGAGCUGCAAAGUGUGAGUGUGGAGGGGGAGGUGAUCGUGCAUGGGCUUAGAGGUGGGGAGGUGAACAAUGCGUCACCUUAGCCAUUGUUAUUACCACCUCCCCCGUUGUUGUUUCCGUUGUCGCUGCCAUAUUCUCCGUUGUUACGAUCAUGGCAUCUAUCAUAUAAAGGUUGUAGGUCGAGGUCGCUGUCUACUUGCUCGAGGGCAUGGUAGCUACUGAUGGGUUGUCUGAGGACUCACCGAUCUCCUGUUCCAUAUAUUUAACUUCAUUGGGGACACUCUCAAAAACUUUGCUUAGGUUCUCAAUGUUGGUCAAAAAACCAACUUUUCCCAGGGACUCCGAGAUUUGAUUGCACCCCGAGACCGGGCUUUUUGAAAUCACGAGCCUUUGAAUUCGAUUUAACAUCUCGUUCAGAAGGAGUUUCUAACUUUCUUAUUGGGCCCUAUUUGACACCGGGACGAGAGGAAGUUGCUCGAAGGUCCGAACUGACAUGGAUCUUGGUUUCUCACACUCCACCAUGGCUUGUUCUAACACUUGACCCGUCGGAGCUGGCCUUGGUUCCCGAUCUAAGAUCGGGUCCGACGAAGGAUUCCCACGUUUGUUUUGAGCCCGCUCUGACACGAGGUUUGAGGCAAGCGGCUCGUGCUGAUUCUUGACUUGGUGUGACAACCGACCUAUGAAUACCAACUCUCCGUGGGAUUCUGCAGUAUAAUCCAUGCUGUCGAAUCUAACGAUCUAACCUGGAGCGAAGGAUUUGACCUGGCCAAGGUGACCGAUUGAGUUGGUGAUACGUCUCCAACGUAUCAAUAAUUUAUGAAGUAUUCAUGCCAUAUUUACCCAAGUUAACAAUACUUCUGUAUGGUUUUGAUGCACUUUAUAUGAUUUAAAUGUAAUUAACCUGGAGUAAUGCUAUUUUGAGCAGAAUUACUGUGGUGUUGUUUUGUAUAGAAAAUAAUAUUUCUCGGAAUCGAUCGGAACUUUUUGAUGAUUUUUUCUGGAAGGAAAGGGACCCAGGAAGCUUCGAGGGAAUACAAGAAGACUCACAUGGGCUCUAGAAGGUAACAGGGCACGCCCACGGGGUGGCCGCGCCCUAAUGCUCCGUGGCCCUCUCGUGGCACCUGCUGGCUUGAUUCCAACGUUGAAAAUACUAUAUAUUGAGAACCUCCCGAAAGUUAACCUAAAACUUCGAAUUCGCCGCUGCAAGCCUGUGUUUCGAAGUGAUAUAAUCUGGAGCUCUGCUUCAGCAUCCUGCCAGAGGGGGGAAUCAUCACCGUAGGCCAUCUCCAUCAUCCCGACAGUCUCCAUGAUGAGGAGGGAGUAGUUCACCAUCGGGACUGAGGGCAUGUACUAGUAGCUAUGUGUUUGAUCUCUCUCUCUCUCUCUCUCUCUCUCGCCCCCCUCUCCCGUGUUCUUGAGAUGGCACGAUCUUGAUGUAUCACGAGCUUUGUUAAUAUAGUUGAAUCAUAUGGUCUUCUUCCCUUGCAAUCUUGAUGUGAUGAAUUGAGUCUUUCCUUUUGAGGUUUUGUUAUGUUGGAUUGGAUUUGAGAACACUUGAUAUAUGUCUUGCAUGUGGAUACCUGUGGUGACAAUGGGGUAUUCUAUUGAGUCACUUGAUGUAUGUUAUGGUCAUCAACUUGGGGUGAUCUAUGCACAUAGGUUGAUGCACAUUUUCAUCCUACUUUCUCCGAUAGAUAUCUUGGGGGCACUCUUUGAAGUUCUUUGUGUUGGAUUGAAUAUGAUUAUGUAAUGCCCAUGAUGCGGUACCAUCCUAAUCUUGGCUCGAGGGCCUCGAUAGGGAUAGAAGCGCAUCUCGUCGUUUUGCAAGAAUAGAUAUAAUUACAAGUACAUGUAAAGAGGAUAUGUAUAUAUGAAAUUGGCUUACACUCGCUAGAAGCUAAAUCAUUACCAUCUCAAAUACAAUCAUCCAUAGCAAUCAUCAGACAUAAAAGCAGCGUCUGACUAAGGACGAAAUCAAACGAUAAAAGUGACAUCCAUCUUGCUAUCCAGGGCCGCCGACCUGGAACCUCCUAUGAUCGUUGAAGAAGAAGAAGAAAUCCAAAUAAAAAAAAAUCAUCACUCUCACGUCAAAGCAUCACAUUACCUGUACCUGCAACUGUUGUUGUAGUAAUCUGUGAGCCACGGAGACUUAGAAAUCUCAUUACCCAAGGGUAUCAAUAUUAGCAAAGCUUAAUGGGUGAGGAAUGGUUAAGUGACGAGGUUGCAACAACACUAAACAUCUGAUAUCUGGCUAACUUACGAGUACAAUAAUAAGAAGAGUGGUAUAUGCAUAAACGGACGUGAACUAGUAAUGAUAAACAAGUGAUCCUGAACACCUACUUACGAGUCAUUCAUAACCCCACCAUGUUCUCUUCUUGGAUCAAACCUCACAAGAAGAGACGGUGACAGUUACACACGCUGUUGGUGCAUUUUACUUUAGUUUACUUCAAGUUUUAAAUAACUGGGUAUUAUAAAGUUUCCAAGUUGCCAGAUAACCGCGAACAUGGCUUUCAAAAGGAUUUCACCCUGCAGGGGUGCUCCAACUCAUCCAUCACAAACUAGCCACAAGCUGUUGUUGGAAAACCGCAACCUCGAGAUAGCCCGAAGUAUCCUCGGAAUCCCGAUGUACAAGAUAUUUCAUUAACGAUAAAACAAAUCUAGCAAGGCCCCCCGACGCGUUGACAAUCAUAAUAGGAUCCACAUGUAUCUCGUUCUCAAGACACGACCAGAUUAUCCAAACUUCCGGUAGGCCAAUCGCAGAGUUGCUCCUCGCAGCCACCAGCGGUUGAUAGGUUCACACCAACACUCAUGAGGAGCACUGGCCCGUUUUGUUGAUUAAUUCUCCACGGGUGCCGGGAUGUAACAACCCAGAUGUUUUCUUUCCUUAUUUGUAUCCCUUUCCAAUUGUGGACACCUUGUUGAACCCAUGUAUGGAAGUUAUGAGGAGGUUAUCAUUUCAUGUGUUGUCAUUUCAUGUGCAUCUCAUGCAUCAUAUCAUCUCCAUCUUGUGUUUGUCUUCUUCUUGUCUACCUUGUUGUGGUGAACUCAUGUGGAUUGUGUGGUGUUGUGGAGUGUGGUGUGGGUGCAACAAUGACCUCAACAUCAAGUUGCACCAUAGCCCAAACCCCCCCCUCUUUUAUAUUUUCCUUGAGGCAUAAUAAAGUUGCUGUUUUGGGGUUUUAAAAAUGUUCCACUUCUUUGGAAAUUCUUUCAAAUAUUUAUGGAUGCAAAACCUCACUGAUUUGAAAUUAUUCUCCUUGUUGUUUUAAUUUAAAACAGGGGCUGAUUUAUAACAAAAACAAUUAAUUUGCUUUGCUCUAAAAUGCCACCUCUAUUUUUAUAAAUAGGAGCAGCAUUUUAGAGAAUUAUAAUUAUUUUCCUUUUCUUAUUUUAUUCUGUUUUUAGCUUCUCUCUUACUGUAUUCAAAGUCUGAUUUGAAUUAUUUGAAAGAGAGAACCUGCUUUGUUUUAAAGAGAGGUGAGGUAGUUGGAUGGGCUCCUGGCCCAUGGCUUUCUCCCUGGCGCUAGAGCCCACAUUCCUUUCCUUCUUCCUCCUCCUCACACUGUGUCCUCGUUGUUGCUUUCCGUCAAAGAGCUGAGAGAGAGGGAGGUCGCGCCAACGCCGUCAAGCCGUCCCAUUCGCCCAUAUUUAGAGCCUCCCCCUCAGUGUGCGUGCUAGGGUUCCCUCUCCACCGCCGCCAACCUCUCUUCUUCCUUCUUCCCUCCUCUGCACGUAAGGUUUCAGAGAGAGAUUCAGAAAGAGAGAGAGAGAGAGAGAGAGAGAGAGAGAGAGGUUCAGAGAGAGCGUCGUCACCUCGCCAUCGUCCCUCCCCUCGUCACCGGUGCUUCCCCGUCAAGUCCAAGCGUGCAGGGAGGAUGCUGGAUCCUCCCUCAAUCCAUUCCCGGCGCUAGGAGGGUGGUUCCCCUCCUCUGUCGGCCCCUCCUCUCCGUCUUCGUUAGGGAUGGAGCAGAGCAGAGCCAUCGCCGUCGCCCUGCCUCUUCUUCCUUCUUCUCGACGUCAAGCGCGCCUCCGAGCAGCCGCAGGGUGAGCGCCGCUCCUGUCUCUUCUUUCCCGCGCGUAGUAUAUCCCCUCUGCGUGCCGUAGUUCGCCGGAUCGAGCUCUGUUCGGGCCAGAGGAGAGGCCGCAUCGAGCCGCCGCUACGGGCUCCCUCCCGUAGAGCUAGGCACGGGAAUGGAACCCCCUAGGGUUCCCGCAUCCCCGCCGGUCCCUAGGAGCAUCCGCCGUUGCUGCAUCAUCACCGGAGCCGAGCUGCUCCUUCCGUGAUCUGGAGGUAGAAGACGAUGUGUAGUUGCCGUGUGUUGUAGCUUAGCUGGUUCAGAACCCCCCUUGUAGCCUGGCUGGUUCCAGCGUCGUGCCCCGACCAGAGAGGUCGUGGGUUCGAUUCCCACCGGCGCACUUUUUUAUUUCUUGUUUUUCCUACCUGUUGCGAGUAGCACUGCGGAUAGCUUAGCUCGUUAGCCUCCCCUUUGUGGUCAGACUCGAGGCUGUAGCGCACUCGUGCGGUGCCGUGUGUGCAAGCAGGGGUGCAGGGUUUGAAUCUCCCCCUGGCCCCUUUUAUCUUUUAUGUUUUUCCAAGUGUUGCAGCUUAUGUUUUCAUGCCCUGUGUAGAGCCUAAUAUGAGGAGGAGCUUUGAUCUUUUGUUGGUGAUUCCUUGAUGGAGUGGUAGUGGGUGAACCCCUCUACAGCAUGAGACUUUCAUUUUGUUCUUAGGUUCUUUCAUGCACCUAUUGUACCGUGUCAAAGUGGGCACUUGUCUGAAUUUGUCAGAUUUGUGAAAACCCUGAGAUUUCACCAAGUCUGGGAAUCUGGAGUUAUUUUCUUCCGUGUUGUGUUGCUAAUAUUUGCUCCUGUGUUGGGAGUUAGCCCAAGCAACAAACUAGAGUUUGUUUGCUGUUAUGUUUGUCUAGGUCCCUGUCAAAUUUCAUGCUCAGAAACCUCGUGUAGAUAUCAUUUUGGAGGCUGCCAAAAUGCUUCAGAGCAUAAGCAGCUGGUGAAAAUCUGUAAUUUUCACUAAGUCCCAAUCUGUGAUAUUUUGUCCAAGUUAGAGGCUGUUUAUCUACUGAUGGGUGGUUCCUUUGCCUUAUCUUUUUUGUUAGAGGUUGUAGUGAAGUUGGAUGGCUUCACGUGCAUGUCUUUUUUGAUUUAUUUAGAGGGNGUGUUUAUUUGCUGUUAUAUUAUCUUGGGUAGCAUCGGGAAUGGAGAGCGAGUACAUGGAUUCUGGAGAGUUCGUGCAUGAAGAACAAGAGCAGUUCCACGCUGAAGAAAUCAGAGACAAGAUGACCGUGACCUUGACACCGUUUUAGCCUUGUUAUGCUUAGAAUCACGUUUCCAUCGUUACAUGCUCGCUGCCUACCACAUGAUAUAAAUGAUACCUGUCUUUGCCAUGAACCCCAAACACUUUCCUGUCCUAGCAAAUAUUGUUUGGCUAGGUAGGAUUGCUCAACCUCUAAUGGAUAGCUUUGCUAGUUGGAGGUGCCAGCUGGUCCAUGUGAUAACAUGGGCAUUUUGAUAUCAUUAUGUUUUAAACUGCUAUUUAAUUAAUGCACCUAUAUACUUGGUAAAUAACGGAAGGCCUAGCCUUUUGCCGGGUGAUUUGUUCCGUUGUUGACGCCUUAGUUUCGGUUACCGGUGUUUUAUUCCAUAACUGAUCGCUCCUAACACGUUCGGGGUUGUUAUGGGGACCCCCUUGAUAAAUCGUGUAGUGUUAAGGCUUGUCUGGCAGGACCCAACUUUGGUUUUAAUCUGCUAAUAACUUAAUAACAAAAUGCAUAGGGAAUAGCUACCCCCAGGAAUUAAUCAACAACCCAGGCCAGUGCUCCUCAUGAGUAUUGGUCCAAACCAGAGCACUGCGCGGGGCCAACCCAGGGCAACUUGGGUGAUCUCUAUCGCGCACCGUGCACGUAGCUUAUCCGACGUGUCCUGAGACGGAGAUACGCGACUCUUAUCGGGGUCGUCGACACGUCGGGCGGUCUUGCUGGAUUUGCCUUACCUUAGCGAUAUAUCUUGCGCAUUGGGAUUCCGGUGAAGCUUUGGGUCUCCUCAAAGUUGAGGUUUUCCUCUUAGGAAUCAGACGAGAUCAUGAGUUUUGUGAUAGAGGAUUACUAUGCGGCCUGUGGUAAUUUGUAAUGGACUAGUUGGAGCACCCCUGCAGGGUUUAAUCUUUCGGAAAGUCGUGCCUACGGUUAUGUGACAAAUUAUGGAUAUUUUGUUAACAUCCGGUUCUAGACAACUUAAAGUAAUUCUAAUAAAACUACCAACUGAGUGCGUAACCGUGACUGUCUCUUUCGGAGACCCUUCUCUGAUCGAGAACACGGUUGGGUAAGUAGGUGUUCAGGAUCACUUAGUGAUCAAUCUAGUGUUCGACCGACUUGCGUAGACCACCAUAUGUUUACUUUGAUCAUCGUAAGGUAGCCACCAUAUAUGCUUAGGUUGCUGCAAACCCAUACACUUAACCUUCCUCACCCAUUAACUCGGCUAGAUUCGAUUCCAAGGUCGUUCGAUUGCUGAGUCCUCGUGGCUCACGGUUUACUACAAACACCCACAGGUACAGGUACGCCUGAUGCAGGAGAUCCUGAUGAUAGCCAGCUGAAGUGGGAGUUCGAUGAGGACUCUGGCAGACUGUACGUGACUUAUCCGGAGGACUAGAGGCCGUGGUCGUGAUCGUGGGGCCAGCAUGCAGGAUUUCAUAGCUUUACCUGUUUUCAUGUUGUCCAUAGCUGGACUAAACUAUGCUCUCAAUAAUUUGUGUCUGUAAGCUAUAUGCUAUAUUCUUAUCAGAUGACAAGUGUAUGCCCUACUUGUCAGUCUUUCAGUUAUGUAAUGUUAUGAUUAUCUCGCUUGCGAAACGUUUAGAUGCACCCCUUCCC
Molecule: long non-coding RNA, 10529 nt
Filed under: Hordeum vulgare
Lineage: Eukaryota; Viridiplantae; Streptophyta; Magnoliopsida; Poales; Poaceae
Description: long non-coding RNA (HVUL_LNC007609)
Source: RNAcentral